Molecule: long non-coding RNA, 1215 nt
Organism: Euleptes europaea (tarantolino)
Lineage: Eukaryota; Metazoa; Chordata; Lepidosauria; Squamata; Sphaerodactylidae
Exons: 2
Source: RefSeq, a predicted model, not a curated record
AGUGACACAUCUUGGGACAUAAUCCGCUGGCCACGUUCUUCUAGCCUGAUGUGCAAAAGUAACAAGUUUCUGUGCGUAUGUGUGCGUGUGUGUGUUUUGUAAAAUCUGUAAAUACCACAUGACCAAAUGAACAUAUUGUAUAGAACUGUUUUUAUUUUUAAUGUGGCACUAACCACCAUCAUUCUAUUGAGAUAAAUGUUAGCGCAUGAUGUUGUGUUUCCCCCCCUCCAAAUUGAGUCCUGUACCAACAAUGUGUAAGUUCAUUAACAGUCCUAACUGUGUGGUGUUUCUCUCCAAUGCCUACCAACAUUCAUCGACUGAACAAAACUGGAGUAAUCACUUAGCCCUAAGCAAAUUUUGCAGAAACGUAAGAUUAAUUUUUUUGUUGUGUGCAUGCGUCUUUAGCUACGCAUCUACCGAAAACAUCUGCAUGAGUCUUGUAAAAGAAAACAGAAACAAAAUUCUUUCCCUAGGGAGGGAGGAAAAAAUAGAACUGAAAACUCGUGUUCUGUGAAGGAAGUGUGUGGUGCUCUGUAAGCUUCGAUUCAUAUACAGAUCUACAAAUGUGCAAUACAGUUUUUAACUGAUAAAACAGACCUCUGCAAGGAAGUUUUGGGGUUCUUUGCUGCAUGAAGACAACAAUCUCCCUAAACUACUAAGCAAGAAUUAAAGAGUGGUGAUCGGCCAAGUUUUAUUCUCCUUUUUCAUAUUUCGUUGUGUAAAAUGUCAUAGUUGAUAAAAUGUACAAUAUUGGACUGUAAUGCAUGCUUUUCAGUUGUAAGUAGCCAAUAAUCUCUAUUGUAUCUUAACAUACCACUUUAAACAGCUCUGUACAAUAUGCAAUCCUAUUUAUACAGGUUCAUUGACAACGGUACUGUUGUUGAAUGUUUGAGAAAUUGUUAAAAACCUUCAAUUCCAUAACUUCAGCUUUUAAAAAAUACCUUGGAGUGUGCAAAUAGACUUAUUUUGCACUGUAAUAAUGUAACUUAUUUAAAUCUAAAGCCGUAGACACACAUUGGUGCAAUACACAUGUUGUGAUGGCGUUUUAUCAUAACAGCAACAGAAGCCUAAUAAUGAACUUAGUUCAUCAAGCAGCAUGUGUGACUUUUUUUUUAGAAGUUGUAAAUAACAUUGGUUGUUCUGAUUCAAUGCUGACAAUAAUGAGCAUCACACCUACUGUCCUGGUUUCAGGUAAAAUAAACUUAUUCUAUGAUA